Molecule: ribosomal RNA, 305 nt
Filed under: uncultured bacterium
Lineage: Bacteria
Description: bacterial SSU rRNA
Rfam family: Bacterial small subunit ribosomal RNA
Source: RNAcentral
CCUACGGGGCGCAGCAGUGAGGAAUAUUGGUCAAUGGGCGGGAGCCUGAACCAGCCAAGUCGCGUGAGGGAAGACGGUCCUAUGGAUUGUAAACCUCUUUAGGCGGGGAGCAAUGCCGGGCACGCGUGUCCGGAGGGAGAGUACCCGCAGAAUAAGCAUCGGCUAACUCCGUGCCAGCAGCCGCGGUAAUACGUAGGGGGCAAGCGUUAUCCGGAUUUACUGGGUGUAAAGGGAGCGUAGGUGGCAUGGUAAGCCAGAAGUGAAAACCCAGGGCUCAACUCUGUGGAUUGCUUUUGGAACUAUCA